UGGGGAAUUUUGGACAAUGGGGGAAACCCUGAUCCAGCCAUCCCGCGUGUGCGAUGAAGGCCUUCGGGUUGUAAAGCACUUUUGGCAGGAAAGAAACGUCAUGGGUUAAUACCCCGUGAAACUGACGGUACCUGCAGAAUAAGCACCAGCUAACUACGUGCCAGCAGCCGCGGUAAUACGUAGGGUGCAAGCGUUAAUCGGAAUUACUGGGCGUAAAGCGUGCGCAGGCGGUUCGGAAAGAAAGAUGUGAAAUCCCAGAGCUCAACUUUGGAACUGCACUUUUAACUACCGGGCUAGAGUGUGUCAGAGGGAGGUGGAAUUCCGCGUGUAGCAGUGAAAUGCGUAGAUAUGCGGAGGAACACCGAUGGCGAAGGCAGCCUCCUGGGAUAACACUGACGCUCAUGCACGAAAGCGUGGGGAGCAAACAGG
This 429-nucleotide ribosomal RNA is filed under the name Acidobacteriota bacterium. RNAcentral's name for it is "Acidobacteria bacterium partial 16S ribosomal RNA". It matches the Rfam family "Bacterial small subunit ribosomal RNA", at positions 355 to 776 of the family's 1533-position model. Lineage: Bacteria; Pseudomonadati; Acidobacteriota. The record is from RNAcentral.